AUACAGAGGGUACAAGCGUUAAUCGGAUUUACUGGGCGUAAAGCGCGCGUAGGUGGCUAAUUAAGUCAAAUGUGAAAUCCCCGAGCUUAACUUGGGAAUUGCAUUCGAUACUGGUUAGCUAGAGUAUGGGAGAGGAUGGUAGAAUUCCAGGUGUAGCGGUGAAAUGCGUAGAGAUCUGGAGGAAUACCGAUGGCGAAGGCAGCCAACUGGCCUAAACCUGACACUGAGGUGCGAAAGAAUGGGGAGAAAACAGGAUUAGAUACCCUGGUAGUCCAGGCCGUAAACGAUGUCUCCUAGCCGUUGGGGCCCUUGAGGCUUUAGUGGCGCAGCUAACGCGGUAAGUAGACCGCCUGGGGAGUACGGUCGCAAGACUGAGACUCAAAUGAAUUGACGGGG
Molecule: ribosomal RNA, 396 nt
Filed under: uncultured bacterium
Lineage: Bacteria
Description: partial 16S ribosomal RNA
Rfam family: Bacterial small subunit ribosomal RNA
Source: RNAcentral